RNAcentral lists this ribosomal RNA (1346 nucleotides) under uncultured bacterium. RNAcentral describes it as "bacterial SSU rRNA". It matches the Rfam family "Bacterial small subunit ribosomal RNA", at positions 28 to 1381 of the family's 1533-position model. The record is from RNAcentral.
GACGAACGCUGGCGGCGUGCUUAACACAUGCAAGUCGAACGGAAAGGCCCUGCUUUUGUGGGGUGCUCGAGUGGCGAACGGGUGAGUAACACGUGAGUAACCUGCCCUUGACUUUGGGAUAACUCCAGGAAACUGGGGCUAAUACCGGAUAGGAGCUCCUGCUGCAUGGUGGGGGUUGGAAAGUUUCGGCGGUUGGGGAUGGACUCGCGGCUUAUCAGCUUGUUGGUGGGGUAGUGGCUUACCAAGGCUUUGACGGGUAGCCGGCCUGAGAGGGUGACCGGCCACAUUGGGACUGAGAUACGGCCCAGACUCCUACGGGAGGCAGCAGUGGGGAAUAUUGCACAAUGGGCGGAAGCCUGAUGCAGCAACGCCGCGUGCGGGAUGACGGCCUUCGGGUUGUAAACCGCUUUCGCCUGUGACGAAGCGUGAGUGACGGUAAUGGGUAAAGAAGCACCGGCUAACUACGUGCCAGCAGCCGCGGUGAUACGUAGGGUGCGAGCGUUGUCCGGAUUUAUUGGGCGUAAAGGGCUCGUAGGUGGUUGAUCGCGUCGGAAGUGUAAUCUUGGGGCUUAACCCUGAGCGUGCUUUCGAUACGGGUUGACUUGAGGAAGGUAGGGGAGAAUGGAAUUCCUGGUGGAGCGGUGGAAUGCGCAGAUAUCAGGAGGAACACCAGUGGCGAAGGCGGUUCUCUGGGCCUUUCCUGACGCUGAGGAGCGAAAGCGUGGGGAGCGAACAGGCUUAGAUACCCUGGUAGUCCACGCUGUAAACGGUGGGUACUAGGUGUGGGGUCCAUUCCACGGGUUCCGUGCCGUAGCUAACGCUUUAAGUACCCCGCCUGGGGAGUACGGCCGCAAGGCUAAAACUCAAAGGAAUUGACGGGGCCCCGCACAAGCGGCGGAGCAUGCGGAUUAAUUCGAUGCAACGCGUAGAACCUUACCUGGGUUUGACAUGGAUCGGGAGCGCCCAGAGAUGGGUGUGCCUCUUUUGGGGUCGGUUCACAGGUGGUGCAUGGCUGUCGUCAGCUCGUGUCGUGAGAUGUUGGGUUAAGUCCCGCAACGAGCGCAACCCUUGUUCACUGUUGCCAGCACGUUAUGGUGGGGACUCAGUGGAGACCGCCGGGGUCAACUCGGAGGAAGGUGGGGAUGACGUCAAGUCAUCAUGCCCCUUAUGUCCAGGGCUUCACGCAUGCUACAAUGGCUGGUACAGAGAGUGGCGAGCCUGUGAGGGUGAGCGAAUCUCGGAAAGCCGGUCUCAGUUCGGAUUGGGGUCUGCAACUCGACCUCAUGAAGUCGGAGUCGCUAGUAAUCGCAGAUCAGCAACGCUGCGGUGAAUACGUUCCCGGGGCU